This 370-nucleotide ribosomal RNA is filed under the name Mogibacterium timidum. Its description in RNAcentral is "bacterial SSU rRNA". It matches the Rfam family "Bacterial small subunit ribosomal RNA", at positions 52 to 402 of the family's 1533-position model. Lineage: Bacteria; Bacillati; Bacillota; Clostridia; Peptostreptococcales; Anaerovoracaceae. The record is from RNAcentral.
UACAUGCAAGUCGAGCGAGAAGCUUGGAAAUGACGCUUCGGUUGAUUUUCCAAGCGGACAGCGGCGGACGGGUGAGUAACGCGUAGGCAACCUGCCCCUGACAGAGGGAUAGCCAUUGGAAACGAUGAUUAAAACCUCAUGACACCGUAGUAGCACAUGCUACAUCGGUCAAAGAUUUAUCGGUCAGGGAUGGGCCUGCGUCUGAUUAACUGGUUGGUGAGGUAACGGCUCACCAAGGUGACGAUCAGUAGCCGACCUGAGAGGGUGAUCGGCCACAUUGGAACUGAGACACGGUCCAAACUUCUACGGAAGGCAGCAGUAGGGAAUCUUGCACAAAUGGGCGAAAAGCCUGAUGCAGCAAACGCCGCGU